UCUCGAACUCCUGGCCUCAAGUGAUUUGCCCACCUCAGCCUCCCAAAGUGCUGGGAUUACAGGCAUGAGCCACUGUGCUCAGCCUACAACUGCCUGUAUGACCUUUCUUGUUCUGUUUCUUCUCUCCUCCCCAUAUUUCGUGGUCCAGAGAGAAAAAUAGAGAUGGUUGCAUAUUUCAGAGCAAUCAAGACUCUUUAUUCUCAAGCAUUUUAACAGCCACUAGAAGCCCCCUAUGUUUGCCACUCUGUCAGGGGGCACUUCAUGGAGUCAGGUAAGAUGCUCAUUGCCCUCUGGCACCACCUGGUCUGCCUCCAGUUGCGCAGGAUAUUGGAGGCUGCUAGAAACUUUGACUGCUAGCUCCAUGAACUGUGGCUUGGGAGCAGUAACCUAGGUCAGGAAAUAUUCCUUCCCUGGGAAACCUGGCCUUGUCCAUUUAAAUCACAGUAUUCUGCGAUUCCAACCCAUCAGGUGGAACUGACUGGAGGAGCACCUACUUUUGGAUUUUUUCCCAGUUCUCUAGUUAAUGAUUUCUUACCUGUAAGCUUAGAUUAGCUGCUGUAUAUAAGGCUUUCCCAAGGUCUGGCAGGAACCUGCCACUGCCCCGGAACUGUCAGGUUUGUAUUGCUUGCCAGGGCUCUGCAAAGAUUCUAGAGCACAUCUUUCAAAAUACUAAAUAUUUUUGUUGUAUUAUAUCCAUAUCCAUUACAGAAAAAACAGGAAAGUAUAAAGAAAUACCUCACCACCCAGGAGUAACUGUCACUGUUUGCACUCUCAGUACGCUUCUUUCUAGUUGUAAUUAUACAUACCACCACCACUACCCUGCAUACAUACAUUUUUCACAGUUAAUUUCCCUAGGCUAUUGAUAAACCCCAUUUCCCCUCGAUACUUAACACUACAGCAUGAGCGUUUUUCCACAUCGUUUUUAAAACAUUCUCAGAACAUGGUUUUUACUGUUUCUAUGGCUACAUUUAGGAACCUGCCAUGAUGUUCCUAACUGGCCUCCAUUUAAGCUGACUGCAGUUUCCUUGAUUAAUGUCUUUGUGAAUAUAUUUUAAUUUAAAUUCUUUAUUCUUUAUUUAAAAUGAACACCUCGACAAAAAAUUAUCAGAUCAAAGAAUAUAGAGAUAUAUAAGAGGGUCUCACUCACUACUGCCAGCCUGUGCUCCACAUCUUCCUGCUGCUCUGCCGCCUAGAAGGAGGAGCUCUUCCCGCUCCUCCACCAAUCACAAUGGAAAAAGAGAUUGCCAUACUUGUCAUUGACAAUGGCUCCAGCAUGUGCAAAGCUGGUUUUGCUGGGGAUAACACCCCUCGAACCAUGUUUCCCUCCACCGUCAGGUGCCCCCAACACCAGGGCAUGAUGGUGGGGAUGGGCCAGAAGGACUUCUACCUGGGCGACAAGGCCCAGAGCAAGCACAGCAUCUUGACGCUGAAGUACCCCAUCGAGCACAGGAUCGUCACCAACCAGGAAGACAUGGAGAAGAUCUGGCAUCACACUGGCUACAGCAAGCUGCGUGUAUUCCUGGAGGAGCACCCGGUGCUGCUGACCGAGGGCCCCCUAAACCCCAAGGCCAACAGAGAGAAGAUGGCUCAGAUCAUGUUUGAGACCUUCAAUACCCUGGACAUGUACGUGGCAGUCCAGGCCAUACUUCUAUGCCUCUGGGCGCACUACUGGCAUUAUCAUGGAUUCUGGAGAUGGAGUCACACACAGUGCCUGUCUACGAGGGCUGUGCCCUCCCCACGCCAUCCUGUGUCUGGACCUGGCUGGUCAGAACCUGACCACCUCAUGAAGAUUCUCACAGAGUGUGACUACAGCUUCACUAGCACGGCCGAGCGGGAGAUCGUGCAUGACAUCAAGGAGAAGCAGUUCUACGUCGCCCUGGACUUUGAGCAGGAGAUGCCCACUGCCAUGUCAUCCUCCUCCCUGGAGAAAAGCUACAAACUACCUAACAGCCAGGUGAUCACCAUUGGCAACAUGCAGUUCCAGUAUUUGGAGGCGUUCCAGCCCUUCUUUCUGGACGUGGAAUUUUGCAGCAUCCGUGAGAUCACCUUCAGCUCCAUCAUAAAGUAUGAUGUGGACAUCCACAAGGACCUGUACGCCAACACAGUGCUGGCCAGUGGCACCACCAUGUACCCAGGCAUCUCCAACAGGAUGCAGAAAGAGAUCACUGCCCUGGUGCCCAGCACAAGGAAGAUCAAGAUCAUUGCGUUCCUAGAGCGCAGGUACUCCGUGUGGAUCAGCAGCUCCAUCCUGGCCUCAUUGUCCACCUUCCAGCAGAUGUGGAUUAGCAAGCAGGAGUAUGACGAGUUGGGCCCCUCCAUGUCCACUGCAAAUGCUUCUAAAUGGACUACAAGCAGAUGUGUAGCAUUUGCUGCAUAGGGUAAUUCAGAUGUAUAAAUUUGCCCCGACAAAUGUAUACACCUCAUGCCAGUCUCACAAAACUGGAAUAAGCUUUUGGAAAGAAAUUUGUCCUUGAAGCUUGAUCAGCAGUGGAUUGUAGAACUUGUUGCUAAUUUUGACCUUGUAUUCAAGUUAACUGUUCUCUUGGUAUUUGUUUAAUACUCUGUUCAUGUCUUUGAUUUCAACCCUUAGCACAUGUGGUUUGGGCACUUCAUUACUGAGAUGAAGAACAUGCCUGUGGAAGACAAGUCCAUGGCUUGGUGGGUCUGUGUGGCUGGCAGUCUCCCACUGGUGCAGGGUAUUAAUAUAUCAGGGCUGAGUAUUCUGGGAUUUCUCUAGAGGCUGGCAAGGGCUGCUGAACCAGUUGUCAUUUCUGUCUUGCCUGUAGGACCCAGUUUCCUUUCUUAGCUGAUGUUUUCCUGCCAGAACACCAUGGGCUGUUACUUGCCUUGAGUUGGAAGCGGUUUGCAUUUACACC
Non-coding RNA from Chlorocebus sabaeus (green monkey), 2876 nucleotides. The record is from RefSeq and is a predicted model, not a curated record. Lineage: Eukaryota; Metazoa; Chordata; Mammalia; Primates; Cercopithecidae.